Molecule: transfer RNA, 112 nt
Organism: Aspergillus carbonarius ITEM 5010
Lineage: Eukaryota; Fungi; Ascomycota; Eurotiomycetes; Eurotiales; Aspergillaceae
Rfam family: tRNA
About the family: Transfer RNA (tRNA) molecules are approximately 80 nucleotides in length. Their secondary structure includes four short double-helical elements and three loops (D, anti-codon, and T loops).
Source: Rfam
GCCCUGCUGGCGCAAUGGUAGCGCGCAAGACUUCUACUUGUUCUCUGGAUUAGAAAUCCUAUCCUGGAAAAGAGAGAUCUUGAGGCUGUGGGUUCGACCCCCACGUAGGGCU